GACGAACGCUGGCGGCGUGCUUAACACAUGCAAGUCGAACGGAAAGGCCCCUUUGGGGGUACUCGCGUGGCGCACGGGUGAGUAACACGUGAGUAACCUGCCCUUGACUUCGGGAUAACUUCAGGAAACUGGGGCUAAUACCGGCUAGGAAUCCUUGCUGCAUGGUGGGGGUUGGAAAGCUUCGGCGGUUUUGGAUGGACUCGGGGCUUAUCAGCUUGUUGGUGGGGUAGAGGCUUACCAAGGCUUUGACGGGUAGCCGGCCUGAGAGGGCGACCGGCCACAGUGGGAAGGAGAGACGGCGCAGAGUCCUACGGGAGGCAGCAGGGGGGAGUCGUGGACAAUGGGGGCAAGGGUGAUAAAGCCAUGCCGCGUGAGGGAAGAAGGCAGUCGGGUGGUAAAACGCUUUUGUUCGGGAAGAAAUACAGUGGGAUAAUACCCCGGGGGGAUGACGGUACCGGAAGUAUAAGCACCGGCUAACUACGUG
This 484-nucleotide ribosomal RNA is filed under the name uncultured bacterium. RNAcentral describes it as "partial 16S ribosomal RNA". It matches the Rfam family "Bacterial small subunit ribosomal RNA", at positions 28 to 507 of the family's 1533-position model. The record is from RNAcentral.